This is a transfer RNA of 80 nucleotides. It matches the Rfam family "tRNA". From Rfam's summary of the family: Transfer RNA (tRNA) molecules are approximately 80 nucleotides in length. Their secondary structure includes four short double-helical elements and three loops (D, anti-codon, and T loops). The record is from Rfam.
GGUCGUGUGGCCCAGUGGUUAAGGCAUGUGCUUUACAGCAGGAUCGCACAGGAUCGCAGGUUCGAUCCCUGCCACGAUCA